Molecule: small RNA, 643 nt
Filed under: Pongo abelii (Sumatran orangutan)
Lineage: Eukaryota; Metazoa; Chordata; Mammalia; Primates; Hominidae
Description: processed transcript
Source: RNAcentral
GCUGGGCCUGGAACACGGAGCAGUGGCUGCCCUGCGAGGAGUCUCCCCUGCAAGUCCUAGAGCAGCUCCAGCAGGAUGGCGGCUCCAGCGUCUCUAAGGCCUGCAGGGAGUCCAGCCCCAUGGGGGGCGCCCUAGGCCUCCGACAGCUCCCCAUCUGUGCUCCUGCCUGCCGGCCAUCCUCAGGCCACUCGCCAUGGGCGGCUGCUUCUCCAAACCCAAACCAGUGGAGCUCAAGAUCGAGGUGGUGCUGCCUGAGAAGGAGCGAGGCAAGGAGGAGUUGUCGGCCAGUGGGAAGGGCAGCCCUCGGGCCUACCAGGGCAACGGCACGGCCCGCCACUUCCACACGGAGGAGCGCCUGUCCACCCCUCACCCCUACCCCAGCCCUCAGGAUUGCGUGGAGGCUGCUGUCUGCCACGUCAAAGACCUUGAGAAUGGCCAGCGUUCUGUCCCGUGGUCGGGUGCGCUGCCCCUGGCACGGCGCCUGCUUCAACAUCAGCACUGGGGACCUGGAGGACUUCCCCGGCCUGGACAGUCUGCACAAGUUCCAGGUGGGGCCAGGAGUGCGGUAGGGUGGGAACCUGGGGUUGUGGGGUUCGGGGCUGGUCCUGAGCAAUGUAGCCCUUGCAGGUGAAGAUUGAGAAGG